This is a long non-coding RNA of Amblyraja radiata (thorny skate), 355 nucleotides long. RefSeq lists it as uncharacterized. Lineage: Eukaryota; Metazoa; Chordata; Chondrichthyes; Rajiformes; Rajidae. The record is from RefSeq and is a predicted model, not a curated record. The transcript is spliced from 3 exons.
GAGACUGUCUGAGAAAGCUCGAACACUGAGCCUGAAUCGGACAGAGAAGGAAAGUAAACUUCAGUGCGAGGAACAUCAGGAAGAACUGAAGCUGUUUUGUGAAACUGACAAGAAGCUGAUCUGCCUGGUUUGUGCAGGUGGGCGGGAACACAGAGAUCACCGCUUCAUGCUGGUGGAUGAAGCUGCUGAAAUAUACAAGGAUCAGGUGAAAUCUUCCAUCCAGUCUCUCACAAAAAAGCAAUCAGGGAUCCAGCAAAUGGAGCAGCAACAGAAACAGAAGAUUUCUGGAGUUCUGGAACAGUCACACAACCUUCAAUCCAAGAUCACAUCCCAGUAUGCUGAACUGCACCAGGUU